UAGUGCAGGAUUGAAGCGAUAGCAUCAGUCCCUGGUUUGCUCAGUUCUUGCUAAGGUACGUGCAAGCACCUUGUUCGACUCUUCGACUUAUUAUAUUACAUCUCGCUAAAUUCCAUCUUCGAUUACCUUGAUCUCACGCUUGGAUCAUAUAAUCUUCCCAAUCUAUUGUGAUUAAAAAUAAUAAUGUUUCUUUUCUAAUAACGUACCAUCUUUUUUUAAAAUUAACACCUUUUUUUUUCUUUUUGUGGUAUGAACGAUGCUUCGAAAGAUGUUUGCAGGUUCACCGCUGGCGUUGAACUACAGGAGGAUUUUCCUGAUGGGGAGCAAUAACUGUCCACAAGGUUGUUCGGGUUUCCCAUACUUCCCUCCUCCAUCAGCACGACAUCGCUGCAUGCGGGGACACUUCGAGGUGGAUCAGCGUCAGCGUAGUCAUCAGUGUCGUCGUCGUAGCCGUCGGUGUUAUUACUAAAAAUCGUCGUGGUCCCGGGAACAGAACCGCCACUCCACCGAAAUUGAUAUGGAAGCUUAAUAUUCCAAAAAUAACGUCAGUGCCGCAGUUACCGCAACCGGGGCGGACGCAGUUGUCAUCGCGGCUGAUGCCGCGAUGACGACCUCAUCACAGCAAUUGCCGCUGGGGGAGGCUAAUGCGGCGACGACGACCUCAUCGCAGCAGUUGCCGCCGGCGGAGGUUGAUGUGGUGACAACGCCAUCAUCGCCGAAGUGCCCGCUGACGCUGCAGCGAAUGCCGCCAUCAUCACUGCAGCCAUCGUCGUCAUUGUCGUCGUCGCGGUCAUUGUCACCGAAGUUGUCGCCACAGCAGCUGCUGUCGUGUUGUUCAUACGGUGAUCAAAUGAUAGAAUUACCGUGGGUGGUAAUUGAAUGAUGCAUAAUGAUAGAUCGUCUGCUCUAUCACAUAAUUCGAUGCAAUAUAUAAUUUUUGUUAUUGGAGGAAAUAAUGUUUGUGUUGGAGGGUUUAUUGAAUUCGGCAAUUUUAUGGUCCAUCGAGAAAUCUCGUAUC
RNAcentral lists this long non-coding RNA (1018 nucleotides) under Eucalyptus grandis. Its description in RNAcentral is "long non-coding RNA (EGRA_LNC000978)". Lineage: Eukaryota; Viridiplantae; Streptophyta; Magnoliopsida; Myrtales; Myrtaceae. The record is from RNAcentral.